Long non-coding RNA from Sphaeramia orbicularis (orbiculate cardinalfish), 780 nucleotides. RefSeq lists it as uncharacterized. The record is from RefSeq and is a predicted model, not a curated record. Lineage: Eukaryota; Metazoa; Chordata; Actinopteri; Kurtiformes; Apogonidae. The transcript has 3 exons.
UUCAACCAAUCAGACUCAAUAACAGUUGGACAUUUGGUCCAUGUGUCUUUAACCUGUUGAAUGUGUUGACUCUGUCCAGUCUCUGUGGACGUCUUUCCAAACUUUCAGCAGUUCUUCAGAAGAGACAGUUUGUCUGUGAGUUGUGCAGAUGUUCAGACAGAUGGAUGGACAGUGAAGAGGACACUGAGGAACGGAAACACUGAGACGUGCAGAGUUUGGAAGGAUAGACGGGUCAUUCUGCGUUGUCGAUGGUCUCACGCCAGGGAACAGUGGAGUUUACUGGUGUGAAACCAGUUCAGGACAGCAGAGUGACCAGGUGUCCAUCACUGUAACAGAUUUUUCUGUAAUCUUGGACAUCCCUGCACUUCCUGUGGAGAAAGGAAGUGAUGUCACUCUGCGCUGUAUAGACAGAGGUGGUUCAACACUGAAAGCCGAGUUUAUAAAAAACAGUCGGACACUCACAUCUGUCCCAGUAGAAGAGUGGACCAUCCCUGUAGACCACCUGUCUGAUGAAGACCAGUACUCCUGUUAUGUUCCAUUGGCUGGUGAAUCUCCAUCGAGCAGCCUGAGGGUCAAAGGAAGCUGGGCUUCCACUGCAGUCUGUGAGAAAUCACCACUGGUUUCUACCACCACUACCUCUGUUCCUACAACUUCAUCCUCUGAUCCUGGUUCCUCUUCAGUUCCUGGUUCUUCAGAUCCUGGUUCUUCAAUGUCCAUUGUGAGGCUGUUCCUCCACCUGCUGGUCGUGAGUCCGUACUGCGUCUCCACUGUCCUGAUGGU